UGGGGAAUAUUGCACAAUGGGCGCAAGCCUGAUGCAGCAACGCCGCGUGAGGGACGAAGGCCUUCGGGUUGUAAACCUCUUUUAGCAGGGAAGAAGCGAAAGUGACGGUACCUGCAGAAAAAGCACCGGCUAACUACGUGCCAGCAGCCGCGGUAAUACGUAGGGUGCAAGCGUUGUCCGGAAUUAUUGGGCGUAAAGAGCUCGUAGGCGGUUUGUCGCGUCUGCUGUGAAAACCCGAGGCUCAACCUCGGGCUUGCAGUGGGUACGGGCAGACGUAGAGUGCGGUAGGGGAGAUUGGAAUUCCUGGUGUAGCGGUGGAAUGCGCAGAUAUCAGGAGGAACACCGAUGGCGAAGGCAGAUCUCUGGGCCGUAACUGACGCUGAGGAGCGAAAGCAUGGGGAGCAAACAGGCUUAGAUACCCUGGUAGUCCAUGCCGUAAACGUUGGGAACUAGAUGUGGGACCAUUCCACGGUCUGCCGUCGUCGUAGCUAACG
Molecule: ribosomal RNA, 494 nt
Filed under: uncultured bacterium
Lineage: Bacteria
Description: partial 16S ribosomal RNA
Rfam family: Bacterial small subunit ribosomal RNA
Source: RNAcentral